Phoenix dactylifera (date palm) is the source of this 1390-nucleotide non-coding RNA. NCBI's taxonomy places the organism in Eukaryota, Viridiplantae, Streptophyta, Magnoliopsida, Arecales, Arecaceae. The record is from RefSeq and is a predicted model, not a curated record.
CUAUUUACAUAUUUUGCAUAAUGCACAUUUAACUAUUUAUGCAAAUUUCUUGGUGCAAGGUGCAAACCAUGCUAACUGAUAAUAAGAAUCUCAUAGUUAAUAUGUCAUAUAUUUGAGAUGCUCAUCAUUUUAUUGAAGUGCAGGUAUCAUUCUGAAUCAGGCUGGCAGGCUUUGAUAGAAAUAAUUCUUGAACAUUAUGGGCUUGAAGUUGACCAAGCUGCAAUAACUAUUUUUAUCUGCUCCUUUCCGGUAGCUGUUGAUGCUUGUGUGAAGCUUUGGAUGAAAUAUUCAGAAAUCAGAACUUGAUCUUGAAAGCACGCAGAAAUAACAGAAGUUCCUUCGUGUGAGAUGUUGCUGGAAGUAUGACAUAAGCAGUUAUUCAAAUUCCUUCCAAAGCUGUCUCCAAAUGUAACAAAUAUCUUACAGGAAAUGAAGCGGCACUAGUGAAGCUUUUCAUGGAACAUUUUUCCUCAUCUUGGGAAUUACUGGAUGGGGAUCAUGCUUCAAUUGUCGCACCUUGAAGCCGCAUUUGCCAAACACUGUACAUGCUGCACCGGAUUGAACCCUAAAGGCAGCGUCGCUCUGAAGUACUCAGUUCUGUAAAGUUAAUGAUUUUUUUUUUCCAGCCCUCUUAGCAAACCUUCUUUGGUCCUUAAAAUUCAUUUCAACAUUGUUAAUCUUUUUAACCCAGUGGUUCAAAAAACUUUUGCCCUCAUUGUUGCUAGUCAGAAGAAGAGCUUUUUGUCGACCGUAAACGAGAUGAGCAACCCACCAGAUUUGUGCCAUUUGGGUCCUACAUAAAGCCAAUAUCUUGGAAGUGAUAUGCGUGCGCCAUGAGCUUCACUGGUGUCAAUCUGCGACAGGGGAAACUCGCAAGAAUCAUGUCGAAGCGAGCACCAAACACUUGCACUCUCUCUCUUGCGUUGGUUCUUCGCUUUAGUAAUUAUCAUCAUUUAAUGUACUGCAUCCAACAGGCUACCUAUUUCAGGAAGUUAAAGAAGUCACACUUCUAAAAAGAAUAGAUCUCAUUACGCAGAAGAGCUGCAAAAUUUGGAAAAGGUUUGUGAAAGCGAUCUCAUGUGAGAUUUACGAGUACCACGUGAUGCAGGGUCUGGACUCUAGAGGACCCAUCUCUCUCGUUCUCUCUCUAGUCGCUUUCACAAGGCCCCAUAACGGAUUUCUUUCAGCCACCAUCACGCCAAAUCAUGAAGCAUGCAUGGGCGGCGAAAGGCAAGAUCGACCCUCUUUUUAAGCUUUUGCCGGCAACUGGAAUAUGGCGUCGUACAAGUUGUCAUUGAGGGAAGAAACGUAAAUGCUACAUGUGGUACGAGAUUUUUGUGUCGCAUUAGUAUUUCUCAUCUAUUCGUUGUACAUAAAGUAGGCUGGUACU